RNA transcript from Carya illinoinensis, 3179 nucleotides. RefSeq lists it as uncharacterized. The record is from RefSeq and is a predicted model, not a curated record. The transcript is spliced from 4 exons. Lineage: Eukaryota; Viridiplantae; Streptophyta; Magnoliopsida; Fagales; Juglandaceae.
CUUAGCAGUUAGCAUUAUGCAUCAAAGAAUUGCGCUGCUCAAAAUUCUUCUAGCAAUCGAGCAACGACGCCCACCACCUCGUUUAGAAAUGUCAAGUAGGAGUAGAAGAUCGCCAUCGCUUGUAGCCGUGCUCAACUGGUUAUCUAGGCCAAGUUCUUUCGCUACAGAAAGAGGAAGAGACCGCACCAAUCACCGUCGUCAUAUUAGCUUACUCGAAGAAAGACCCCCCAUGGCGAUAUCAGGGAGAGACCUUCACUGCUCCUGCGUCGGAAGACUUGAAGUCGUCAGGCCCAAACCCGUCGGUUUCCUCUGUGGUUCUACCCCAGUUCCCACUGACAACUCCUUCCAUUCUUUCAAUUCCUCCUCUCUCGUCCCCUCGCGCCAGUCACUGACUGCUCCACGCUAUCGGAUGCUUCCGACGGAGACGGAUCCCAAUACGCCUCCGCUUCUCUCGAAGUUUCCAGACAAGGUUCUUCCUAUUGCCGGUGUGCAGCCCAAGGCCACUGGAGGCCUGAUGUUGAAGAGAGAGAGAGAAGUUUAUUAGAAGACACAAGAAUCAGUAAAAAUCUGUAGAUUCUUUAUUUUUGAACUUUGCCGUGCACUCGAUUAGAAUGGAGGCUUGUGAUUGUCGUCCAACUCAUCAUGUCUCAUCACAGGAGCAGUCAAAACUCUUCUGUUCUUCCUGGAGGAAAUAGAACUCAGUUUGUGGGGAAGUGUGAUAGUGUUGUUCCAAGUAUCCUCAAGUCAAACAGGAUAGCCUCUUUUGGGGAAGUAAGAAGAAUAAGAGAAGUAAAGGGUGGGAUGCUGUAAAAAAGGCUUCACAAGUGGGUGAGAAGCCUAGGUGCUCAAUGCAGGAGUCUUAAAAACAUAUAAGAAUUGGUAAUGAUGGGUUUCUUAGGGUCUUGUUUUGGCAGUUUCACAAUUUCCAUAUGCUUUUGGGCAGUGACUUACUUCUGUUCAGUAAUGAAACAUAUGAUGCUGCAAGCUUGUAUUUAUGGGACAUUACAUGAGAGGUCACACCAUUUGCAUUUGCUUCUGUACGUGCAUUUGCUCAUGAACAAUUUGCAAGGCUCAUUUUAAAUUAUGACAAAGAACUGGGUUUAACAUCAGAAACUCUUCCUGUAGAAUAUGAAGUUACAAUUAUUAAUGCUGAGGAAGAAUCCUCAGACUUUGUAAGCGGCAAUUCUGAAUUAGUGGGGCAUGUCUCCUCAUUAAUUGCAGAGGAUGAACCAUACGAGGAUGGACAAAAGGUUUUCAAAAUUUAGUAUCAGAGGCUUCUGUCAAGAUGAAUUUGGAGGCAAAAUUUUCUGAUUGGAGCUGGUAACACGGAAUUAACAGAUCCAGGAGCAGCUGAACCAAGUUCCAUUAGAGAUUAAAUUUUUCCACUGUGCAAGGCAUCUCCAACAAUAGUUCAAACUGUUGCUGAUCCCAUUUCCUCUAAGUUAGCUGCAGUAAAUCAUGUUUCUUAGGCUAUCAAGUCUCUCAGAUGGAUGCACCGACUGCAGAGCACUAAAUUUGAGCUGGUGGAUGAAGGCAGUGGAACUGAUGAGACGCUGCCUUCAUCUAUUAGUUUUUCUGUUUGUGCAUGUGGUGAUGCAGACUGUAUUGAAGUUUGUGACAUUCGGGAAUGGCUUCCAACAUCGAAGUUGGACCAUAAGUUGUGGAAAGUUGUUCUUUUGCAUGGAGGAUCAUAUUUGGCACUUGGUCAAGCUUAAAAGGAGGAUGGUCAGUUGCAUCAGGCAUUGAAGGUUAUAGAGUUGGCAUGUUCUAUUUACGGAUCAAUGCCUCAGCAUCUUGAAGACACAAGGUUCAUUUCUUCAAUGAUCAGUUGCUCAUCAUUGCAGAAGAAAUUCAAUGAAAGAAAUGAAAAAACAAGAUCAUACAAUAAUGAUGUGGAAGAUGAGAAAUCCAGCUCUACAGAUGCUUCUCUUAUUUUGACCAGUACUCUUCCACUUACCUCCUUUUGCCAGGGUGUGGACUCUAGUUGGAGACGUUUAUGUUGAGUUCCAUAUGAUAUAUGGUAAAGAGAUAUCAAUAUAAGCAGAACCAAAAUCCAAUAUUAGAGGGUUGUGAAUAUUUUCUGAGGUGGUGAAGGAAGUUAAAAGGCUCAAGAAGCAGCCGGGGCAGAAUAACCAGAAUUGUAUCUCGUGUUCAUUGUUAAAUUACAGCUGCCAGAGUGACAGGGCAAGCAGUGGGAGCAGCGCAAGCAGUAGCGAUGCAGAUAGGCUCUCAGUAGGUUAUGGCAGAAAACACAAAAAAAAAUCAUAUGUGAAAAGAGCGCAUCCUGCUCACUUUGGGGAGACCUCGAAGAGGACCAUUUUCGUCACCAAAUGGACAGUGUGUCAAUGGUAAGAGUUUUGAUGGUGGACAUCUACAGCACGAUAAAGGUGAUGAAAGCCUCAAAAAGGCUGCUUGUACUGAUAAUUUUGGUUUAAAACCUUUGGGAAAUAAUACUAAAAAAGUGGAGGGUUUUCUACCCUAAGUGAAAAAUGGUGGGAUAUUUAAGUACCUCGGGGAUCCAGUUGUGAGAGAUGCAGAGGAUAAUCUUUUAGCUGCCCUAAGUUGUUAUGAAGAAGCUAAACAGGCAUUGGGUGGACUUCCCUCAGGUUCAGCAGAACUCCAAUUUGUUGUCAAGAAGAAGGGGUGGGUCUGCAAUGAACUGGGUCGUAACAGGCCUGAAAGUAGAGAAUUGAACAAAGCUGAAGUUGCUUUUGCAGAUGCUAUAAAUGCAUUCCGGGAAAUCUCUGAUCACACCAACAUAAGAUUUAUUCAUUUGAAUUUGGGCCAUGGCAGCCGUGCAUUGGCUGAAGAGGUGGUAUCAAAGAUUGAGGAUCUCAAAAUGCAUGCAAUCUUACAUGGUGCAUACGACCAAGCAUUGGAGACUGCAAAAUGAGAAUAUAGUGAAUCACUUUGAUAUUAUGGAGCAGCAAAGUCGAAAUUGAAUCUUAUUGCCUAUGAGAACUGUUACGGACACAAAAAGAUUACACAAAAGUAAAUUCACAAACUGACAUGACUUCAUAUGAUCCGUUAGAUCUACUUUACACUAAAAGUAACUUUACAAUCUGAUAUACUGCAUCAAGGUACCUCAGUUUGUGGAUUCAUUUUUGUAUAAUCCUUUUGUGGCUAAUGUAUUUCUUUUUUGCAUAUUAAGUAAAAAGUCCAUACGGUUGUUUAGAUAA